GACGAACGCUGGCGGCGUGCUUAACACAUGCAAGUCGAGCGGAAAGGCCCUGCUUUUGUGGGGUGCUCGAGUGGCGAACGGGUGAGUAACACGUGAGUAACCUGCCCUUGACUUUGGGAUAACUUCAGGAAACUGGGGCUAAUACCGGAUAGGAGCUCCUGCUGCAUGGUGGGGGUUGGAAAGUUUCGGCGGUUGGGGAUGGACUCGCGGCUUAUCAGCUUGUUGGUGGGGUAGUGGCUUACCAAGGCUUUGACGGGUAGCCGGCCUGAGAGGGUGACCGGCCACAUUGGGACUGAGAUACGGCCCAGACUCCACGGGAGGCAGCAGUGGGGAAUAUUGCACAAUGGGCGGAAGCCUGAUGCAGCAACGCCGCGUGCGGGAUGACGGCCUUCGGGUUGUAAACCGCUUUCGCCUGUGACGAAGCGUGAGUGACGGUAAUGGGUAAAGAAGCACCGGCUAACUACGUG
Molecule: ribosomal RNA, 467 nt
Filed under: uncultured bacterium
Lineage: Bacteria
Description: partial 16S ribosomal RNA
Rfam family: Bacterial small subunit ribosomal RNA
Source: RNAcentral